Molecule: long non-coding RNA, 516 nt
Organism: Drosophila erecta
Lineage: Eukaryota; Metazoa; Arthropoda; Insecta; Diptera; Drosophilidae
Exons: 3
Source: RefSeq, a predicted model, not a curated record
GAAGAAGAAACAGCAGAAACGCCAGUUAAAAGAAAGUUAGCAGCGCAAUGAUUUUAGUUGGGAAUCGUUUAUGGGACAGAGAUUUUUCUAAUCCAAAUGAGUUAUUCGGUCAUUAGUAAAGCUAUUAGGGUUCCAUCCCGCACAUAGUGUCUCCCACUCCCUCGCACUCUCUGCUGCCUGCAUUCUGUGCCGAGUGCCUUUCACUUGAUACCCUAUACGAGAGAUUUGUUAAUGUGGUACCCUAUUUUUUUGUGGAACUGAAAUGUCCAAAUUUAAGAGGUGUGCGAGUGUGUAAAAAAGCAUUGCCAAGAAAUCAAAGUGAGAGAGUUUGACGACGGCAACGGGGGGAUGAAACCAGGCCGGAUAUAUUAGCCAAGACAGGACAGGGACAGGGACAGCAUCAUCGUUUCAUUUUGCUGCCUGCGUCAAUGACAACAAAUUUCAUAGGAGCACAUUUAUACAUCAAAGAUGACCAUCGAAAGGAGCGAAAAAGAGCGGAUAGGAAAAUUGUCUGCA